ACUCUUGAUUUUGGCUUAGGUCAUGAUCCCAGCCGGGGAUGGCGGAUCGAGCCCCACGCAGGUCUGUCCACUGAGCAUGGGGCCUGCAUGAGAUGCUCUCUCUCCCUCUGCCCUCCUCCACUCACUCGUGCUCUGUCUCUCAAAAGAGAAAGUCGGGGGCGGCGGGGGGGGUUGUCCUUGCAUUGUCGCUAGCUGGUGGGUUUGUGGGGAGAAGGAGAUCCGGGGUUUCUUGCUCCAGAAACACCAUCUUUCUUCGUGUGCCUUGACCAAGUCAGCCAGCUCCUGGAGUGCGGCCCAGGUGCUCGUGGUGGACUUUUAUCCCCGCUGGCCACCUAGCUCCGGGGACCGCCCCCUGCUAGUGCCGUGGCCAUCCCGGAAGCUCAGCUAGUUCCUCGCAAAGGAGCUCUGCCUCUCGACGGGUCCAGUUUUGGCGAUCCCACUUGUGAUUUAUCAUUUCUGAGCGCUGGUGCAGUCAUUCUGUGACGGGCUCGUUCAUUCACCCGGUAUUACAGGUGACUGCGUGCCAGACUGUUCUAGGCGAGGGGGGACCCAGACGAGGCCCCUGCGCCCGGUGACCUUACGGGCUGGUGGGAGGAAACAAAAAGUAACCUUUCCGCUGGAAAAGAGCCAUGAAGCAACAUAAAGUGGAGUCAGCAGACGGAGGAGGAGGAAGGACGGCAAAGGGCCCUGAGCAAAGGACUGAAUGUCAAUCAAACAACACUCACGUGAAAGUGCUGAUGCGGGGAGGUAACUUCUCACCUGUCACCGUCUCCAGAACCUCCUGCCCCGUGCUCACCUCGGCCAGGACUUUGCCGUCUCCUCCUCUGAGAAAAUAGAAGACGUUUUCCACACAGUCUCAUGACCUCAUCUAUGACCUCACGGGUGUGUGUUCUGCCUUUCUUCCUAGUUACCGUGGGUAAUUUGCUCAUCCUCUCAUCUGGGGCUAGCCUCGGGAAUAUUGCCGUCUCCCUCAGGUUACCAGGGUCUCUCUUCUGCGUGUUAAAAACAAAAGACCUUUUGAUCCCACAAGCUCUUCA
Molecule: long non-coding RNA, 1037 nt
Organism: Herpailurus yagouaroundi (jaguarundi)
Lineage: Eukaryota; Metazoa; Chordata; Mammalia; Carnivora; Felidae
Exons: 2
Source: RefSeq, a predicted model, not a curated record